This 559-nucleotide ribosomal RNA is filed under the name Glossogobius aureus (golden tank goby). Its description in RNAcentral is "partial 16S large subunit ribosomal RNA". It matches the Rfam family "Bacterial large subunit ribosomal RNA", at positions 1845 to 2605 of the family's 2925-position model. Lineage: Eukaryota; Metazoa; Chordata; Actinopteri; Gobiiformes; Gobiidae. The record is from RNAcentral.
AUAAGAGGUCCCGCCUGCCCUGUGACAUAAGCUUUAACGGCCGCGGUAUUUUGACCGUGCAAAGGUAGCGUAAUCACUUGUCUUUUAAAUAGAGACCUGUAUGAAUGGCAUAACGAGGGCUGAGCUGUCUCCUCCCCCCGGUCAAUGAAAUUGAUCUGCCCGUGCAGAAGCGGGCAUAACUACAUAAGACGAGAAGACCCUAUGGAGCUUAAGACACAAAAGCAGCCCACGUAAACCCCCCUACCUUAGUUUAGGGAGAAACAAUAUGGCCCUCUGCCCUUUGUCUUUGGUUGGGGCGACCGCGGGGAAACAAAAAACCCCCACGUGGAACGGAUACCUCCCGAAACAAGACCCACAAGUCGAACAAGCAGAAAUUCUGACCAGAAAGAUCCGGCAAGGCCGAUCAACGGACCCAGUUACCCUAGGGAUAACAGCGCAAUCCCCUUUUAGAGCCCAUAUCGACAAGGGGGUUUACGACCUCGAUGUUGGAUCAGGACAUCCUAAUGGUGCAGCCGCUAUUAAGGGUUCGUUUGUUCAACGAUUAAAGUCCUACGUGAUC